AGUGAACGCUGGCGGUAGGCCUAACACAUGCAAGUCGAACGGCAGCACAGUAAGCGCUUGCCUUUACGGGUGGCGAGUGGCGGACGGGUGAGGAAUACAUCGGCAUCUACUUUUUCGUGGGGGAUAACGUAGGGACACUUCCGCUAAUACCGCAUACGUUCUACGGGUGAAAGCAGGGGUUCUUCGGACCUUGCGCGACUGAAUGAGCUGAUGUCGGAUGAGAUAGUUGGUAAGGUAAAGGACCACCAAGGCAACGAUGCGUAGCUGGUCUGAGAGGGUGAUCGGACACAAUGGAAAUGAGACACGGUACAGACUCCUACGGGAGGCAGCAGUAGGGAAUCUUCAGAAAUGGGCGAAAGCCUGACGGAGCAACGCCGCGUGAGUGAUGAAGGUCUUCGGAUCGUAAAACUCUGUUAUUAGGGAAGAAAAAAUGUGUAAGUAACUAUGCACGUAUUGACGGUACCUAAUCAGAAAGCAACGGCUAACUACGUG
Molecule: ribosomal RNA, 492 nt
Filed under: uncultured bacterium
Lineage: Bacteria
Description: partial 16S ribosomal RNA
Rfam family: Bacterial small subunit ribosomal RNA
Source: RNAcentral